CCUACGGGAGGCAGCAGUGGGGAAUUUUGGACAAUGGGCGAAAGCCUGAUCCAGCAAUGCCGCGUGAGUGAAGAAGGCCUUCGGGUUGUAAAGCUCUUUUGUCAGGGAAGAAACGGUGCGGGCUAAUAUCCUGCACUAAUGACGGUACCUGAAGAAUAAGCACCGGCUAACUACGUGCCAGCAGCCGCGGUAAUACGUAGGGUGCAAGCGUUAAUCGGAAUUACUGGGCGUAAAGCGUGCGCAGGCGGUUUUGUAAGUCUGUCGUGAAAUCCCCGGGCUCAACCUGGGAAUUGCGAUGGAGACUGCAAGGCUAGAAUCUGGCAGAGGGGGGUAGAAUUCCACGUGUAGCAGUGAAAUGCGUAGAGAUGUGGAGGAACACCGAUGGCGAAGGCAGCCCCCUGGGUCAAGAUUGACGCUCAUGCACGAAAGCGUGGGGAGCAAACAGGAUUAGAUACCCUGGUAGUCCACGCCCUAAACGAUGUCUACUAGUUGUCGGGUUUUAAUUAACUUGGUAACGCAGCUAACGCGUGAAGUAGACCGCCUGGGGAGUACGGUCGCAAGAUUAAAACCCAAAGGAAUUGACGGCUGAGACGNGCGAGACGACGACGAGGAGAGG
Molecule: ribosomal RNA, 616 nt
Filed under: uncultured bacterium
Lineage: Bacteria
Description: bacterial SSU rRNA
Rfam family: Bacterial small subunit ribosomal RNA
Source: RNAcentral